This 27-nucleotide non-coding RNA is filed under the name Rattus norvegicus (Norway rat). Lineage: Eukaryota; Metazoa; Chordata; Mammalia; Rodentia; Muridae. The record is from RNAcentral.
UGAACAUUGUUCUUGAGGCACCAGAGA